GCAUGCGUUCCAUUAGUUAGUUGGCGGGGUAACGGCCCACCAAGACAUCGAUGGAUAGGGGUUCUGAGAGGAAGGUCCCCCACACUGGUACUGAGACACGGACCAGACUCCUACGGGAGGCAGCAGUGAGGAAUAUUGGUCAAUGGGCGUGAGCCUGAACCAGCCAAGUCGCGUGCAGGAAGACGGCCCUACGGGUUGUAAACUGCUUUUAGGGGGGAAUAAAGUGCGGGACGUGUCCCGUUUUGUAUGUACCCCCGGAAUAAGCAUCGGCUAACUCCGUGCCAGCAGCCGCGGUAAUACGGAGGAUGCGAGCGUUAUCCGGAUUUAUUGGGUUUAAAGGGUGCGUAGGCGGAAGCUUAAGUCAGCGGUGAAAGUUUGUCGCUUAACGAUAAAAUUGCCAUUGAAACUGGGUUUCUUGAGUACGAUUGAGGUAGGCGGAAUGCGUGGUGUAGCGGUGAAAUGCAUAGAUAUCACGCAGAACUCCGAUUGCGAAGGCAGCUUACCAAGCCGUAACUGACGCUGAAGCACGAAAGCGUGGGUAUCAAACAGGAUUAGAUACCCUGGUAGUCCACGCUGUAAACGAUGAUUACUAGUUGUUUGCGAUAGACAGUAAGCGACAGAGCGAAAGCGUUAAGUAAUCCACCUGGGGAGUACGCCGGCAACGGUGAAACUCAAAGGAAUUGACGG
RNAcentral lists this ribosomal RNA (687 nucleotides) under uncultured bacterium. Its description in RNAcentral is "bacterial SSU rRNA". It matches the Rfam family "Bacterial small subunit ribosomal RNA", at positions 229 to 916 of the family's 1533-position model. The record is from RNAcentral.